Molecule: long non-coding RNA, 608 nt
Organism: Heterocephalus glaber (naked mole-rat)
Lineage: Eukaryota; Metazoa; Chordata; Mammalia; Rodentia; Bathyergidae
Source: Ensembl
UUAUGGAGAGAGAGUUAACUCAGUUACUUUCAGAAUUUUCUGUCUGCCUACAAAUCUUGCCACCUUUUCACCUGCCAGGAUAUUGAUCCUCCCAUAGUUAAUGAAUAACAUGGUUUCUUGAUACACAAUGUAACUUGUCAUGGCCUUGGGUUUGUCAUGUCUUGGCCUUGGGUUUGUGGUGAUUAUAUUAAGUUUUUCCCUUCCACUUCCAUACAGAAAGAUGGUACACUCACCCACCAUGUAUGAGUAAUCCUUUCAUCUCCUCUUUUCUGUUCCCUGAUGACCUCCCCACUGGCUGAGUUGGAAUCCAUCCCCUGAAUUCUUGAAAUCCAGGACCAUAAUUAAGACUUAGUAACAUGCGAAUCCUUGCCUUCACUGAGAGCUAGGAGGAAGAAGACAAUGUUGGUCAUGGGAAAAGCUGUGGGUUCUGCCAACCCAAUCUCCAGGUGUGUUCAAGGGCUCGUGACUCAGAAGUGGGGAAACUCGAGCAAGUACAAGCAGCCACAUGACCCUGAGAGGCUCUGAAGUGAGACACAGUGUUUCAAGCAAAAGCCCAAACGUAUGUCUCUGCCCGGGAAUGUCCAAAGCCUCCCCUUGUGUUCCAGCCU